This 485-nucleotide ribosomal RNA is filed under the name uncultured Sphingobacteriales bacterium. Its description in RNAcentral is "bacterial SSU rRNA". It matches the Rfam family "Bacterial small subunit ribosomal RNA", at positions 897 to 1382 of the family's 1533-position model. Lineage: Bacteria; Pseudomonadati; Bacteroidota; Sphingobacteriia; Sphingobacteriales. The record is from RNAcentral.
AAACUUAAAUGAAGUUGACGGGGCCCGCACAAGCGGAGGAACAUGUGGUUUAAUUCGAUGAUACGCGAGGAACCUUACCUGGGCUUAAAUGUAGAGUGCAUUUUUUAGAGAUAGAAAUUCCCUUCGGGGCUUUCUGCAAGGUGCUGCAUGGUUGUCGUCAGCUCGUGCCGUGAGGUGUCGGGUUAAGUCCCAUAACGAGCGCAACCCUUAUCGUUAGUUGCCAUCUGGUAAUGCAGGGGACUCUAGCGAAACUGCCACCGUAAGGUGAGAGGAAGGUGGGGAUGACGUCAAAUCAGCACGGCCCUUAUGUCCAGGGCUACACACGUGUUACAAUGGUCGGUACAGAGGGCAGCUACCUGGUGACAGGAUGCUAAUCUCGAAAACCGGUCUCAGUUCGGAUCGGAGUCUGCAACUCGACUCCGUGAAGCUGGAUUCGCUAGUAAUCGGAUAUCAGCAAUGAUCCGGUGAAUACGUUCCCGGGCCUU